AAUAAAACUUAGUAUCGCAUGAUACAAAGUUGAAAGGCGCUACGGCGUCACCUAGAGAUGGGUCCGCGGUGCAUUAGUUAGUUGGUGGGGUAAAGGCCUACCAAGACAAUGAUGCAUAGCCGAGUUGAGAGACUGAUCGGCCACAUUGGGACUGAGACACGGCCCAAACUCCUACGGGAGGCUGCAGUAGGGAAUCUUCCACAAUGGGCGAAAGCCUGAUGGAGCAACGCCGCGUGUGUGAUGAAGGCUUUAGGGUCGUAAAGCACUGUUGUAUGGGAAGAAAUGCUAGAAUAGGGAAUGAUUCUAGUUCGACGGUACCAUACCAGAAAGGGACGGCUAAAUACGUGCCAGCAGCCGCGGUAAUACGUAUGUCCCGAGCGUUAUCCGGAUUUAUUGGGCGUAAAGCGAGCGCAGACGGUUGAUUAAGUCUGAUGUGAAAGCCCGGAGCUCAACUCCGGAAUGGCAUUGGAAACUGGUUAACUUGAGUGUUGUAGAGGUAAGUGGAACUCCAUGUGUAGCGGUGGAAUGCGUAGAUAUAUGGAAGAACACCAGUGGCGAAGGCGGCUUACUGGACAACAACUGACGU
This 586-nucleotide ribosomal RNA is filed under the name Leuconostoc lactis. Its description in RNAcentral is "bacterial SSU rRNA". It matches the Rfam family "Bacterial small subunit ribosomal RNA", at positions 172 to 746 of the family's 1533-position model. The record is from RNAcentral. Lineage: Bacteria; Bacillati; Bacillota; Bacilli; Lactobacillales; Lactobacillaceae.